RNAcentral lists this ribosomal RNA (575 nucleotides) under uncultured Arthrobacter sp. RNAcentral describes it as "bacterial SSU rRNA". It matches the Rfam family "Bacterial small subunit ribosomal RNA", at positions 245 to 832 of the family's 1533-position model. Lineage: Bacteria; Bacillati; Actinomycetota; Actinomycetes; Micrococcales; Micrococcaceae. The record is from RNAcentral.
CUUGUUGGUGAGGUAAUGGCCUACCAAGGCGACGACGGGUAGCCGGCCUGAGAGGGUGACCGGCCACACUGGGACUGAGACACGGCCCAGACUCCUACGGGAGGCAGCAGUGGGGAAUAUUGCACAAUGGGCGAAAGCCUGAUGCAGCGACGCCGCGUGAGGGAUGAAGGCCUUCGGGUUGUAAACCUCUUUCAGCAGGGAAGAAGCGCAAGUGACGGUACCUGCAGAAGAAGCGCCGGCUAACUACGUGCCAGCAGCCGCGGUAAUACGUAGGGCGCAAGCGUUAUCCGGAUUUAUUGGGCGUAAAGAGCUCGUAGGCGGUUUGUCGCGUCUGCCGUGAAAGUCCGAGGCUCAACCUUGGAUUUGCAUCGGGUACGGGCAGACUAGAGUGCGGUAGGGGAGACUGGAAUUCCUGGUGUAGCGGUGAAAUGCGCAGAUAUCAGGAGGAACACCGAUGGCGAAGGCAGGUCUCUGGGCAUCAACUGACGCUGAGGAGCGAAAGCAUGGGGAGCGAACAGGAUUAGAUACCCUGGUAGUCCAUGCCGUAAACGUUGGGCACUAGGUGUGGGCUACAU